UCCAUCCUUUCAGGCCACACAUAUAGUUGUGGAAGCUAUGAAGUCAUUUUUUCAUGAGUCGUGGAAUUCCUGGAGAGUGAUUCCAUACCAAAUUAGAUUGAAUAUGUGGUUUCAAUUUAAGACUAAAUGUGUAUGGCAGCCUCAGCAUGAAAAUCUGGUGAAUAAAAAUUUCGAGAAGAGAGCUUAGAACAGGAUUAAAGAUACUCACUUUGUUGCUCGAAAAGGUGGGAGCAAGCCUUUGUGGUUGCGUGAAGAUAUCUGGAAUCAACUAUUGGCGAAGUGGAAUACCGAAGAAUGGAAGUAGAGGGGUGAAAAGGCGAAGGAAAACAGAGCCUCCAGUAAGGGUGGCUCGUUGCACACCGGAGGUUCAAUCAGUUUUGGGCCCAUCGAUUGAGAUUGAAAAAGGAACAUGGGGAAAAUGUGUUUUAUGCCACUAUUUUUGAGGAGACACAUAAGAAGAAGAAGGAGGAUGGUACAAAAGAAACAUGGGUUGAAGUGCGUGCAUCGGAGACGUAUGAAUGGUAUCACAGAAGAAUGGAGGAGUGGCAACAAACUCAACCCGAUUCUCAGCCGACGCCCGAAGAUAUGACUUCGAUAUGGACACAGGCAAUUCGUGGAGUAAAUAAAGGUAGAGUCUACGGACUUGGAGUAAAGUCGUCAUCCAGCCGCAUGUUUUAGUGGUGCUUCUGCUUCACCCGAAGAAAUUAAAAAAAUACGGAUGCAAAUUAAUGAAUUGUCUCAACAAUGGGAUAAUUCUCAACAAACAAUAAAUAUGAUGCGGACAUUCAGGCAAACCAUGGAAAACACCCUACAAUAGAAGAAUCUAAUAAUGAGGAGACAAAAAUCAGUAAUGAUCGGUAAUAAUUUUGAAUGUAAUAUGAGUUUAGACUUUAUUGGUUUCGGCUUGGUUGGGUUUACACUUGGAUUAUGUG
Molecule: long non-coding RNA, 932 nt
Organism: Nicotiana tabacum (common tobacco)
Lineage: Eukaryota; Viridiplantae; Streptophyta; Magnoliopsida; Solanales; Solanaceae
Source: RefSeq, a predicted model, not a curated record